Molecule: ribosomal RNA, 428 nt
Filed under: uncultured bacterium
Lineage: Bacteria
Description: bacterial SSU rRNA
Rfam family: Bacterial small subunit ribosomal RNA
Source: RNAcentral
GUUUGAUCCUGGCUCAGGAUGAACGCUAGCGGCAGGCCUAAUACAUGCAAGUCGAGGGGCAGCACGGGUAGCAAUAUCUGGUGGCGACCGGCGCACGGGUGCGUAACGCGUAUGCAAUCUACCUUUAACUGGUGAAUAGCCCGAAGAAAUUCGGAUUAACACACCAUAAUAUAUUAGAGUGGCAUCACUUUAAUAUUAAAACUCCGGUGGUUGAAGAUGAGCAUGCGUGACAUUAGCUAGUUGGUGAGGUAACGGCUCACCAAGGCUACGAUGUCUAGGGGAUCUGAGAGGAUUAACCCCCACACUGGUACUGAGACACGGACCAGACUCCUACGGGAGGCAGCAGUAAGGAUAUGGACAAUGGUGGAAACACUGAUCCAGCCAUGCCGCGUGAAGGAUGACGGCCCUAUGGGUUGUAAACUUCUUUU